GCUGGUGGGUUUUGAGUCUUCACUUUAUUACUAUGUCACCAGAAGUCACCACCUUCACUGGUUCACCACAAAUGGACGGAUGUCAUAGAGGAGGGUGCCAUGGGGCCACUGGAUUCACUCGUGAGAGACUUAACCAGGUGGUGGGGGAGUCCAGAGUGGGGGCCCAGGAUGGGGACUGCCAUUCACUGCGCACACGCACACACACACAGAUAUAUUUGUGGAGCCUUAUAUUAUACAUCUUAUAUAUAGAAAAUAUAUAUAUUUAUACUAUACACAGGCAGUAACGCUGCGGGCAGGGCGGGGGCACCCAGACAAGGGCUGUGGGCACCUGGGUACGGGGAGUGUCACAUUGAGGGGCAGCGCCAGGAGAUGGGUGGACACGUCCAUCCUCCCACAAACUCUUGUUGGGAGGGGGGUAGUACGGGGGGGUGGUCUUGGUUACAUGGGGGAAGCCUGAGAUCCCCAACAGACUUUGAAGAUCAAGAAUCACCUGGGAAGGCAGGAGUGGGGAGCAGAUGCUGGGACCCUCUGAGCUGGCCCCAACAGUUACACCCCCAGGUGUGGCAGGAGCCACACCCAGGCAGAUGACCUGUGACUGCACAAUCAGAGGCUGGAGACCUGGAUCUGGAACCUCUAGCUCUGUGCUUAACCAUGGACAAGUCACUGUCUUCCUGGCCCAGACUUCACCCCUGUAAGGGUCCUCGAAGCUCUAAACUCGUGUGGAACUCAGUUUUCCUUGGCCCUCUCUAGUACUCGAUGGGAGGAGGGGGUCCAAACUCAGCAAGGUCAGACUGCAGGGGUGCCCUUCUCCAAGGAAAGGCUUGGAAGCAGGGGGGAGGCAGAGGAGGGGCAGCAGGGAGGGAAAGGGGGUGCCACUGACCUGUGAGCACUGGCUCCAGGCUUGAGGCCUCCAGGGGAUUGUCCCCAGCCAACAGAAGCAGCAAGACUUGCCCACCGACCACUCAGAAGGGGAGUCAGGAGCCCUGGGUCUCAAUUAAAUCCUGCGCUCCACAUCUCUGGUCCUCUCUUUCUCACCCACCAGGGCACAGCCUGACCCCGGAUGGGGUCCUGCCUGGGCGGCACCCCAGGACUAGUGGGGAAUGCUGAGUGAAAUGACUCAGCACCCCCAUUCCUGGCAGGGGGUCUGGUAAACCUUCCCAUUCUGGGGUGGCAGGGAGACGCUGUAAUAAAUAUGCAGUACCUUGCUCUCUCACCCAGCAUCACCAGCAGCUGGUCAGUGCCAGGGGAACAGACAGGCAGCACCCUGGGGUCUCCCCAGCAAGGGAGGCUUUUGAUAGGGAGGAGACGAGGGGGAGGACUUCUCAUAGCAUCCUGUGUGGACACCAAACUUCUCUUUGCCAGAAACAGACCACAUCCACCUGCACCCUGACCUGCUUUGCAAACCUCUGGUCUAGUGCAGCCCCACUGCUCAACUUGGAGGAUACCAGAGUCCCAGCCUGUUCCAACCUGGGCCACCUGGGGGAGCCCCUUCCCCAGACGUGGAAAGUUGAAGUCCCCAACAAGCAGCUGUCAUCCGGCUGUCUGGGGUCCUCUCCCGUCACCGCUGCCCCUUGGGAGGACUUGAUCAGACCUGAUCCAUGCUCCACUGCUAACUCACUCGCGCGCUGAGCCUCAGUUUCUCCUUCUGUUAAGUGGGGGCAAUGAUGCUGCUUCUCUGCCAAGGAAAUUCCCGCUCCUUCCCUCACUGCCACACUAACACCUACCCAUCCUCCGGGCCCCUCCGUGGGAACCCGCAUCCAUACAGCUGUACUCACACAGCGCCUGGCCCCUGUAAGGGACCCUGGGUCCAGCGGUCGGUUUAACGCUCAUCUCUGAGGAUAGUCAGCUCCUCAAGGGCAGACACCCCACCCUCUGUGUUCCCGCCACAAAUGCCCCAUCACUGCUGAGUCAACAGGCAAGUGGGUGGCUAUGACCUGCCUCUUAGGGUUCUCGUGGGGGCUGGUGGUGGGAACACCCAGCACUGUGCCAACCCACAAUCCCGCUGCCCCACUCCCCGAGGCAAUGGCAGGUGGACACCGUCCCCACAGUCUCCCCGCUUCAAGGUCUGCCCAUCCUAUAAGGCUCAGUGGAGAGCCUGCAUUGUCCAAGAGUCCCUCCUCACACCCCCCGUGCCUCGGGGGACACCUGCCACCCUCUCCCCUGACCUGUGGCCUCCCCCAGACUUCCAUGCCUGAGGGGCUCUUGCCACUCAUCUUGGGGACAGUCUGUCCCACGGCAGCAGCUUCCAGGUGGAGGCCAAGCUGGGUCUAGAGCCCUGUCUUCCCACAGGGAGCCCAGUCACUUGGCAGGCCUUCUGGAAGACCUUGGCUUGGCCAUCCCCGCCCCUCGGCCCCCAGCUGACCCCGGAUGAAGGAAAGAUGACACAGUGCCCCAGAUCAGUUCUGUUUCCUGGGAGGUCGCAGGGGCAGGGAAGGGGGCACCUGCUGGGUGGCUGGGACCAAGUAGCCCAGGUAGCAAGCCCAGCUCUGCCACUCACUCACUGUGAUCCUGGGCCGGGCACUCCCUCUCCAGGCCUCCUUGUCCACCUAGCCCCAGGCAGGGACUUAGCACGCCACUCCUAGAGGCAGGGACAGUAGUCAUUCCGUCGGGAGGCCGUGAAGGCCUGCUGGAGCUCCUGGGAGGAUGCACACAGCUCGGAGUGGUACAUGGGAGC
This 2674-nucleotide long non-coding RNA is filed under the name Bos taurus (domestic cattle). RNAcentral describes it as "long non-coding RNA NONBTAT021614". Lineage: Eukaryota; Metazoa; Chordata; Mammalia; Artiodactyla; Bovidae. The record is from RNAcentral.